AUUGAACGCUGGCGGCAUGCCUUACACAUGCAAGUCGAACGGUAACAGGUCUUCGGAUGCUGACGAGUGGCGAACGGGUGAGUAAUACAUCGGAACGUGCCUAGUAGUGGGGGAUAACUACUCGAAAGAGUGGCUAAUACCGCAUGAGAUCUACGGAUGAAAGCAGGGGAUCGCAAGACCUUGUGCUACUAGAGCGGCCGAUGGCAGAUUAGGUAGUUGGUGGGAUAAAAGCUUACCAAGCCGACGAUCUGUAGCUGGUCUGAGAGGACGAUCAGCCACACUGGGCCUGAGACACGGCCCAGACUCCCACGGGAGGCAGCAGUGGGGAAUUUUGGACAAUGGGCGCAAGCCUGAUCCAGCAAUGCCGCGUGCAGGAUGAAGGCCUUCGGGUUGUAAACUGCUUUUGUACGGAACGAAAAGCCCCGGGUUAAUACCCUGGGGUCAUGACGGUACCGUAAGAAUAAGCACCGGCUAACUACGUGCCAGCCGCCGCCGUAA
Molecule: ribosomal RNA, 498 nt
Filed under: uncultured bacterium
Lineage: Bacteria
Description: partial 16S ribosomal RNA
Rfam family: Bacterial small subunit ribosomal RNA
Source: RNAcentral